GGAAUAUAAGAACCCGUCUUUUAACUUUUAACUAAAAAAGCUAAGAACCGGUUCUUAAAUAAGAGUUUUAAGAGCCGGUUCUUAAUUUUUUUAGUUAAAAGUUAGAAGACGGGUUCUUAUAUUUC
This is a non-coding RNA of Brassica napus (rape), 125 nucleotides long. NCBI's taxonomy places the organism in Eukaryota, Viridiplantae, Streptophyta, Magnoliopsida, Brassicales, Brassicaceae. The record is from Rfam.